This is a long non-coding RNA of Balaenoptera musculus (blue whale), 1333 nucleotides long. RefSeq lists it as uncharacterized. The record is from RefSeq and is a predicted model, not a curated record. The transcript has 4 exons. Lineage: Eukaryota; Metazoa; Chordata; Mammalia; Artiodactyla; Balaenopteridae.
GAUGCUCCAAGUAAGGAGAUUGCUAGUAAAGUGGGUGGAAUGGCGAACCCGAGCACAAGGAGAUGAGAAAUGAGGACAAAUUGCAACCUGUACGGAACAGGAGGUUAAAGGUGCUGAUGCUCCAAGUAAGGAGAUUGCUAGUAAAGUGGGUGGAAUGGCGAACCCGAGCACAAGGAGAUGAGAAAUGAGGACAAAUUGCAACCUGUACGGAACAGGAGGUUAAAGGUGCUGAUGCUCCAAGUAGGGAGAUUGCUAGUAAAGUGGCUGGAAUGGCGAACCCGAGCACAAGGAGAUGAGAAAUGAGGACAAAUUGCAACCUGUACGGAACAGGAGGUUAAAGGUGCUGAUGCUCCAAGUAGGGAGAUUGCUAGUAAAGUGGCUGGAAUGGCGAACCCGAGCACAAGGAGAUGAGAAAUGAGGUGCGUUUUAGAAACCUUUCCCCAUCACACGGUGUACCAUCUUCUGGGUUUCUCAUGCAUGUUUUCGAUGUAGGAAGAUGCCCUUGAACCUGGAGAUUUGGGACCCAUGGGAUGGGUACCACGCAGUAUUACUUUAAAGGGUCUGCGUUUGCUCACCCAACCUCACCAAACCUCUCAGCCCCAAGAGUGUCCACCCUUAUGUCUCAUCCAGCUGUGGGUCUAGAUAUGGUCAAUCCAGGUUGCAUCACAGCCCCUGAACGAAUUGUGUAAGAAUUUCUCUCUCUUUCACUGUCUUUGUUUCAUGGGUUUUUAAAAGUAAUUUAUUUUUAUAAUGGGGUUUAGCUGCUUUUCACUGCUGUGUUUAUGCCGCUUUACACCCACUUGACACACUAACAGAGAGAUAUCAAUACAUAGGUUUUAAGAUUAUUACUAGUCAGAUAUAUUCUUGUGCGGUGAAUAGGGCGUGUUGAGUCCAGUUCUCUGAGCAAGGAGUAGGUCUUGUCUAUUACAUAUUGGGUUUAUGGAACGGUAUCUGAGCUAAUUUGAAACCCUUGUUUUAUGUAUCACCCCACCUCACCUUUCCCGUUAAGCAGCCAUAGUGUGUUUUCUGCAUGUGUGACUCUGUUCUGUUUUGUAAUUCAGUUCAAGUGUAACGGUUUUUACAUUCCCUCUAUAAGUGAUACCUUAUGAGAAGUGUCCUUUUCUGUGUGACUUAUUUCACUUAGAAUCGUCGUACCUAAAUCCACUCAUCAUGCUGCUACUAGCCUUAUGACAUUGAUUUCAUGGCUGAGUGAUAUUCCAUUGUACAUAAGGACCACAACUUCUUUAUCCAUUUUUCUCUUUCCUGGGAUAUUUAAGGUGGAAUGAAGUGGAGGUCCUUGUCAACAGAGUAGCCCUAAACUUUGGGGUGCCUG